This 284-nucleotide ribosomal RNA is filed under the name uncultured prokaryote. RNAcentral's name for it is "partial 16S ribosomal RNA". It matches the Rfam family "Bacterial small subunit ribosomal RNA", at positions 524 to 819 of the family's 1533-position model. The record is from RNAcentral.
UACGUAGGGGCUAGCGUUAUCCGGAAUUACUGGGCGUAAAGGGUGCGUAGGUGGUUUCUUAAGUCAGAGGUGAAAGGCUACGGCUCAACCGUAGUAAGCCUUUGAAACUGGGAAACUUGAGUGCAGGAGAGGAGAGUGGAAUUCCUAGUGUAGCGGUGAAAUGCGUAGAUAUUAGGAGGAACACCAGUGGCGAAGGCGGCUUUCUGGACUGAAACUUACACUGAGGAACGAAAGCGUGGGGAGCAAACAGGAUUAGAUACCCUGGUAGUCCCUGAGCGGGCUGG